UAGGGAAUCAUCCACAAUGGACGAAAGUCUGAUGGUGCAAUGCCGCGUGAGCGAAGAAGGUUUUCGGAUCGUAAAGCUCUGUUAUGAGGGAAGAACAAGUACAAGAGUAACUGCUUGUACCUUGACGGUACCUCAUUAGAAAGCCACGGCUAACUACGUGCCAGCAGCCGCGGUAAUACGUAGGUGGCAAGCGUUGUCCGGAAUUAUUGGGCGUAAAGCGCGCGCAGGCGGCCUUUUAAGUCUGAUGUGAAAGCCCACGGCUUAACCGUGGAAGGUCAUUGGAAACUGGAAGGCUUGAGGACAGAAGAGAAAAGCGGAAUUCCACGUGUAGCGGUGAAAUGCGUAGAGAUGUGGAGGAACACCAGUGGCGAAGGCGGCUUUUUGGUCUGUAACUGACGCUGAGGCGCGAAAGCGUGGGGAGCAAACA
RNAcentral lists this ribosomal RNA (427 nucleotides) under uncultured Sporosarcina sp. RNAcentral's name for it is "bacterial SSU rRNA". It matches the Rfam family "Bacterial small subunit ribosomal RNA", at positions 355 to 774 of the family's 1533-position model. Lineage: Bacteria; Bacillati; Bacillota; Bacilli; Caryophanales; Caryophanaceae. The record is from RNAcentral.